UUCCGGUUGAUCCCGCCGGACCUGACUGCUAUCGGAUUGAUACUAAGCCAUGCGAGUCAUUGUAGCAAUACAAGGCAGACGGCUCAGUAACGCGUAGUCAACCCAACCUAUGGACGGGAAUAACCUCGGGAAACUGAGAAUAAUGCCCGAUAGAACACUAUACCUGGAAUGGUUUGUGUUCCAAAUGAUUUAUCGCCGUAGGAUGGGACUGCGGCCUAUCAGUUUGUUGGUGAGGUAAUGGCCCACCAAGACUAUUACAGGUACGGGCUCUGAGAGGAGUAGCCCGGAGAUGGGUACUGAGACACGGACCCAGGCCCUAUGGGGCGCAGCAGGCGAGAAAACUUUGCAAUGUGCAAAAGCACGACAAGGUUAAUCCGAGUGGUUUCUGCUAAAGGAACCUUUUGUUAGUCAUAGAACCACUAAUGAAUAAGGGGUGGGCAAGUUCUGGUGUCAGCCGCCGCGGUAAAACCAGCACCUCAAGUGGUCAGGAUGAUUAUUGGGCCUAAAGCAUCCGUAGCCUGCUUUGUUAGUUUUCGGUUAAAUCCAUACGCUCAACGUAUGGGCUGCCGGGAAUACUGCAAAGCUAGGGAGUGGGAGAGGUAGACGGUACUCGGUAGGAAGGGGUAAAAUCCUUUGAUCUAUUGAUGACCACCUGUGGCGAAGGCGGUCUACCAGAACACGUCCGACGGUGAGGGAUGAAAGCUGGGGGAGCAAACCGGAUUAGAUACCCGGGUAGUCCCAGCUGUAAACUAUGCAAACUCGGUGAUGCAUUGGCUUGAUGCCAAUGCAGUGCCGCAGGGAAGCCGUUAAGUUUGCCGCCUGGGAAGUACGUACGCAAGUAUGAAACUUAAAGGAAUUGGCGGGGGAGCACCACAAGGGGUGAAGCCUGCGGUUCAAUUGGAGUCAACGCCGGAA
Molecule: ribosomal RNA, 915 nt
Filed under: uncultured archaeon
Lineage: Archaea
Description: bacterial SSU rRNA
Rfam family: Archaeal small subunit ribosomal RNA
Source: RNAcentral